This is an RNA transcript of Sycon ciliatum, 1916 nucleotides long. RefSeq lists it as uncharacterized. NCBI's taxonomy places the organism in Eukaryota, Metazoa, Porifera, Calcarea, Leucosolenida, Sycettidae. The record is from RefSeq and is a predicted model, not a curated record. The transcript has 9 exons.
UUCCUGGUAUGGAGCACUGAGAAGCGCUUGGUGACAUCGUCCAAGAUCGACAGGGAUGGCGGGUCACCUGCCGUGACGCUGUCGACGCUAUUGUCCAGUCCCGCAUGGAGCCUGUGGCGAAGCCCCUCAUUUGUGGCACUUGUGCGCGCAGUUUUCGUCGGCCACAUGAUAUUGCGACGCACAAGUGUAACGCUGUUCGCGCGGCCCCGCGCGCUGAGUAUGGCGAUCCCCGCCCGGUGGACAACACGUCUCCUGGUCUGCCCCGUAUGGGGCCACAUAGCCAGUCAUGGCAGUGGAAGAAGGAAGGAAGCUUUCACUGUCCAGGAGCGACACUGACUCGCACUGCUAUCUGGUGCUCACGAGGUGUUUGUCGCGCUGCAAACGGAGCGUCUCUCAUUAGGCGAUUUGAUCGCAGGACGAGAGAGGAGCUGAUGGACGAUCUCUCCAAUGUUCCACUUGGUUCGGAGCGGCGCCGAGUGCUGACGUUGGGACUUGGCCAUUCAACUGCAGUGCCAGUCUGGCUACCUGCCCUGCCUGCGUUCCAGCCUGUGGCUGUAUCCUGCCAUCACAGCGCUGCGACGGUGUUUGGUACGACUGUGCUGAUGGCUCUGAUGCACAGUACUGCCCAGGCAAGGUCACACCAGCUCCAGGUCAAACCGACUGCCAGGUCCUGUCACCACCGGCACUGGGCUCAAUGACCGUGAACGGCUUGAUGUUCAGCAACACGACCACGUUUGUGUGCAGUCUCCCUAUGUCCUUAUGGGCUCGGCCGUGUGUACUUGUGAAAUCAACGGCCAGUGGAGCGGUGUGCAGCCAACUUGCGUCCUGACGACUGCUGCUCUGAGUGCGGCCAGUGACGAGCUAGUCAAGGACUCCGUCUCAGAACGCAUGACACAAACGUGUUAGCUCCUGCUCCAUGCCCAUUGUUGGAGCGACAGUCCUGGAAUCCAGAGUUGCAAGUGAGGUGGUGAUACGGCAAGCAGACGGUGGCAAAGUACGGCUUAAAAGCUCUACAUCUGGCAAGUGGCCGGCAUACCACCCCAAUGGACAUCGGAACAGUACACGUAGAGUAGCAUCUCUACGUGACAGGGUAUGAGCGCAAGCCAGUAUUGCCAAGCACUGGGGACCUUUGGCAAUCUGAAGAAUGUUUUGUCCGAGAAUCGAUCCUUGGAUCUGUGGCGUUGCAGUUGUGGUGCUCCCGACCCUCUUGCGUGAUGGCCGCGGAGACCUAGCGAAAAGGUUCGAGACAUACGGCAUCUCAAUAUCUUCCACCACAAUCAGUACAUCAGCACCACCAUCGAGUGUAGCGACAUCAGCAAUAGAAGACGCACAUGAUAUCAUCCACCCUUACGGCCUUAGCGAAGACCCGGGAAUACCUGAGAAGAUGUUAGCCGCAACUUUACUGGAAAAGUCGUCGGUGACAACGGCACUCCAUAUUUUAGCUGCAUGCAGUUAGGUCUCUCAACAAGUGUACCCAAAGUUUUCAAGCUAAUACACAAGCAAAUUCACUAGGGGCCGAGUAUAUUUUCCUACACCUCUCCCUGUUUGUUGUUGUUAUUUCUGCAUUCAAAUUGUUUGUGUACCUGUACAUUUAUUACAGUAGAGCCACGCAUCCACAGCUGUUGUUUCCAAGGGGUCAGGCUCGUCAGUUAUACAAAACCUUUCAGCAAUCUGGCCUUAGGCUUAGUUCCUUGACUUCUUGUACCACUUUCUUAGAUGCACAUCCCACUGGAUAGUGAGCAAUACGUGUGUAGCAGAAUCUGUAUUCCAGAAAAGCAGAGACUCGAGUCUAUUGACACUGCGUUUCUUUUUUUUAACGUUAUUGGCUGUGGUGUACCUAGAGGUAUACACGUACAUUCCUGGGUCCCACGUUCUGUGACGCCCGACUGUAUUCGUGGUGCCUCAACAACUUUUAA